AUACGUAGGGUGUGAGCGUUGUCCGGAAUUACUGGGCGUAAAGCGCUCGUAGGUGGUUUGUCGCGUCGUCUGUGAAAUUCCGGGGCUUGACUCCGGGCGUGCAGGCGAUACGGGCAUAACUUGAGUCCUGUAGGGGAGACUGGAAUUCCUGGAGUAGCGGGGAAAUGCGCAGAUAUCAGGGGGAACACCGGGGCGAAGGCGGGUCGCUGGGCAGUAACUGACGCUGAGGAGCGAAAGCAUGGGUAGCGAACGGGAUUAGAUACCCUGGUAGUCCAUGCCGUAAACGGUGGGCGCUAGGUGUAGGGGUCUUCCACGACUUCUGUGCCGUAGCUAACGCAUUAAGCGCCCCGCCUGGGGAGUACGGCCGCAAGGCUAAAACUCAAAGGAAUUGGCGGGG
Molecule: ribosomal RNA, 397 nt
Filed under: uncultured bacterium
Lineage: Bacteria
Description: partial 16S ribosomal RNA
Rfam family: Bacterial small subunit ribosomal RNA
Source: RNAcentral